This 88-nucleotide transfer RNA is filed under the name Bacteroidota bacterium. Its description in RNAcentral is "Bacteroidetes bacterium tRNA-Ser". It matches the Rfam family "tRNA". From Rfam's summary of the family: Transfer RNA (tRNA) molecules are approximately 80 nucleotides in length. Their secondary structure includes four short double-helical elements and three loops (D, anti-codon, and T loops). Further hydrogen bonds mediate the characteristic L-shaped molecular structure. tRNAs have two regions of fundamental functional importance: the anti-codon, which is responsible for specific mRNA codon recognition, and the 3' end, to which the tRNAs corresponding amino acid is attached (by aminoacyl-tRNA synthetases). tRNAs cope with the degeneracy of the genetic code in two manners: having more than one tRNA (with a specific anti-codon) for a particular amino acid; and 'wobble' base-pairing, i.e. permitting non-standard base-pairing at the 3rd anti-codon position. The record is from RNAcentral. Lineage: Bacteria; Pseudomonadati; Bacteroidota.
GGAGAGGUGACCGAGUGGCUUAAGGUGCACGCCUGGAAAGCGUGUGUACGCCAAAAGUGUACCGAGGGUUCGAAUCCCUCUCUCUCCG